GAUGAACGCUGGCGGCGUGCCUAACACAUGCAAGUCGUACGAGCUCGAUCUUCGGAACGGGUUAGUGGCGCACGGUGAGUAACACGUAGGUGACCUACCCCAGAGUGGGGGAUAACUUCUCGAAAGAGAGGCUAAUACCGCAUACACUCGGUCAUUCAUUUGGCCGAGCAAAGCUCCGGCGCUUUGGGACGGGCCUGCGUCCGAUUAGCUAGUUGGUAGGGUAAUGGCUUACCAAGGCUUUGAUCGGUAGCUGGUCUGAGAGGACGAUCAGCCACACUGGGCACUGACACACGGGCCAGACUCCUACGGGAGGCAGCAGUGAGGAAUAUUGGGCAAUGGGCGAAAGCCUGACCCAGCAACGCCGCGUGAGGGAUGAAGGCCUUCGGUUGUAAACUCUUUCUGGAGAAGAGACAAGGACGGUAUCCCAGGAAUAAGUACUCGGCGUAACUACGUAGCCAGCAGCCGCGAU
RNAcentral lists this ribosomal RNA (469 nucleotides) under uncultured bacterium. RNAcentral's name for it is "bacterial SSU rRNA". It matches the Rfam family "Bacterial small subunit ribosomal RNA", at positions 28 to 521 of the family's 1533-position model. The record is from RNAcentral.